This 628-nucleotide ribosomal RNA is filed under the name Bacillus sp. HTJR2. RNAcentral's name for it is "bacterial SSU rRNA". It matches the Rfam family "Bacterial small subunit ribosomal RNA", at positions 850 to 1479 of the family's 1533-position model. Lineage: Bacteria; Bacillati; Bacillota; Bacilli; Caryophanales; Bacillaceae. The record is from RNAcentral.
AGCUAACGCGUUAAGUCGACCGCCUGGGGAGUACGGCCGCAAGGUUAAAACUCAAAUGAAUUGACGGGGGCCCGCACAAGCGGUGGAGCAUGUGGUUUAAUUCGAUGCAACGCGAAGAACCUUACCAGGUCUUGACAUCCUCUGACAACCCUAGAGAUAGGGCUUCCCCUUCGGGGGCAGAGUGACAGGUGGUGCAUGGUUGUCGUCAGCUCGUGUCGUGAGAUGUUGGGUUAAGUCCCGCAACGAGCGCAACCCUUGAUCUUAGUUGCCAGCAUUCAGUUGGGCACUCUAAGGUGACUGCCGGUGACAAACCGGAGGAAGGUGGGGAUGACGUCAAAUCAUCAUGCCCCUUAUGACCUGGGCUACACACGUGCUACAAUGGGCAGAACAAAGGGCAGCGAAGCCGCGAGGCUAAGCCAAUCCCACAAAUCUGUUCUCAGUUCGGAUCGCAGUCUGCAACUCGACUGCGUGAAGCUGGAAUCGCUAGUAAUCGCGGAUCAGCAUGCCGCGGUGAAUACGUUCCCGGGCCUUGUACACACCGCCCGUCACACCACGAGAGUUUGUAACACCCGAAGUCGGUGAGGUAACCUUUUGGAGCCAGCCGCCGAAGGUGGGACAGAUGAUUGGG